This 450-nucleotide ribosomal RNA is filed under the name uncultured bacterium. Its description in RNAcentral is "partial 16S ribosomal RNA". It matches the Rfam family "Bacterial small subunit ribosomal RNA", at positions 354 to 796 of the family's 1533-position model. The record is from RNAcentral.
GUGGGGAAUUUUGGACAAUGGGCGCAAGCCUGAUCCAGCAAUGCCGCGUGCAGGAAGAAGGCCUUCGGGUUGUAAACUGCUUUUGUACGGAACGAAACGGUCCGGGUUAAUACCCUGGGCUAAUGACGGUACCGUAAGAAUAAGCACCGGCUAACUACGUGCCAGCAGCCGCGGUAAUACGUAGGGUGCAAGCGUUAAUCGGAAUUACUGGGCGUAAAGCGUGCGCAGGCGGUUUUGUAAGACAGGCGUGAAAUCCCCGGGCUCAACCUGGGAAUUGCGCUUGUGACUGGAAGGCUGGAGUGCGGCAGAGGGGGAUGGAAUUCCGCGUGUAGCAGUGAAAUGCGUAGAUAUGCGGAGGAACACCGAUGGCGAAGGCAAUCCCCUGGGCCUGCACUGACGCUCAUGCACGAAAGCGUGGGGAGCAAACAGGAUUAGAAACCCUGGUAGUCC